CCGAAAGGUGGUCUAAUACUUCAUAAUAUCCAUCUCGUAUGGAUUAAAGCUUUAUGCGCUUGGGGAGGGGCCUGCGUAACAUUAGCUUGUUGGUGAGGUAAAAGCUCACCAAGGCUUCGAUGUUUAACUGGUUUGAGAGGAUGACCAGUCACACUGGGACUGAGAUACGGCCCAGACUCCUACGGGAGGCAGCAGUAAGGAAUCUUCCACAAUGGGGCAACCCUGAUGGAGCAAUACCGCGUGCAGGAUGAAGCGUUUCGGCGUGUAAACUGCUUUUAUCACCGAAGAUUAUGACUGUAGGUGAAGAAUAAGGACCGGCUAACUACGUG
This 329-nucleotide ribosomal RNA is filed under the name uncultured bacterium. RNAcentral's name for it is "bacterial SSU rRNA". It matches the Rfam family "Bacterial small subunit ribosomal RNA", at positions 151 to 507 of the family's 1533-position model. The record is from RNAcentral.